UGAGGAACCUGCCUUGGAGAGGGGAAUAACACAGAGAAAUUUGUGCUAAUACCGCAUGAUGCAGUUGGGUCGCAUGGCUCUGACUGCCAAAGAUUUUAUCGCUCUGAGAUGGCCUCGCGUCUGAUUAGCUAGUUGGUGGGGCAACGGCCCACCAAGGCGACGAUCAGUAGCCGGACUGAGAGGUUGACCGGCCACAUUGGGACUGAGACACGGCCCAGACUCCUACGGGAGGCAGCAUG
Molecule: ribosomal RNA, 239 nt
Filed under: uncultured bacterium
Lineage: Bacteria
Description: partial 16S ribosomal RNA
Rfam family: Bacterial small subunit ribosomal RNA
Source: RNAcentral